Molecule: unclassified non-coding RNA, 1428 nt
Filed under: uncultured Neocallimastigales
Lineage: Eukaryota; Fungi; Neocallimastigomycota; Neocallimastigomycetes; Neocallimastigales
Description: partial contains small subunit ribosomal RNA, internal transcribed spacer 1, 5.8S ribosomal RNA, internal transcribed spacer 2, and large subunit ribosomal RNA
Rfam family: Eukaryotic large subunit ribosomal RNA (bases 659-1428)
Source: RNAcentral
UUUCCGUAGGUGAACCUGCGGAAGGAUCAUUAAAAAAUAGGACUUCCUAUGGGAGUUCAUUAAUAAUCCUACCCUUUGUGAAUUUGUUUGUUUGAAAUAAUUUUUUUCCAAAAAAAUUAUUGAAUGUCUUUCCCUGUUUUUGGUUGAAGCGUAAAAGUGGAGACCAAGCAGGGGAAUGGCAAACAUUAAUUUUUUUGAAAAAAGACCUUUUUUUAAAAUUAAACUUUUUGUAUUCAUUUGUCUAAAAUUAUUUUAUAAUAUAAAAACAACUUUUGACAAUGGAUCUCUUGGUUCUCGCAACGAUGAAGAACGCAGCAAAAUGCGAUAAGUAAUGUGAAUUGCAGAAUACGUGAAUCAUCGAAUCUUCGAACGCAUAUUGCACUUUUUUAGUUUACUAAAAAGUAUGUCUGUUUGAGUAUCAGUAAAUAUUCUCAUAAAAACUUUUUUUGUUUUUAUGGUUAUGAGUGUUUUACAACGAUAAACAAGUUGUUUCACUUUAAAUUCUUUGAAAUUUAAAAAAUCGUUAAAACUAAUUUUAAAAUGAUUUUUUAAAAUUGGAUAAAAUUUUCCCGUAAAAAAGGAAUAACCUAAACAAUUUUAAAAAAUUUAAAAUUGGUUGAUUUUUUUAAAUCCCAAAGGAAAAAAGUAAAAAUUAACUUGAUCUCAAAUCAGAUAAGAGUACCCGCUGAACUUAAGCAUAUCAAUAAGCGGAGGAAAAGAAACUAACUAGGAUUCCCUCAGUAACGGCGAGUGAAGCGGGAAGAGCUCAAAUUUGAAAUCUUCAAGGUUCUACCUUGACGAAUUGUAGUUUAAAGAAGUGUUUUCUGUUGGAAUAGUUUGGUAUAAGUUCUUUGGAAUAGGACAUCAUGGAGGGUGAGAAUCCCGUAACGACCAUUUAUUCCAGCUCUGUGAUACACUUUCAAAGAGUCGGAUUGUUUGGGAAUGCAGUCCAAAAUGGUGGUAAAUUUCAUCUAAAGCUAAAUAUUGGCGAGAGACCGAUAGCGAACAAGUACCGUGAGGGAAAGAUGAAAAGAACUUUGAAAAGAGAGUUAAACAGUACGUGAAAUUGUCAAAGGGAAGCGUUUGACACCAGUGUUGUUUUCUCGAAAAUCAAUUAAAAAUGUUGAUUUUGUGUUGUAGCGACCUUAUCAGCUUUGCACUCUUUUCUGCUUUUUUAAUGCACUUUUCGUUUAACAAGUCAACAUCAAUUUCUUUUGUUGUAAAAGGGUCAUUGGAAGGUGGCUUUCUUUUCGGAGAAAGUGUUUAUAGCCUUUGCUCUCUGCAAUCGGAGAGACUGAGGUCUGCAGCGUAGAUCCUUCGGGGUUAGAUACAUUAGUGCUAAGUUAUACCUUUCAUAGACAACUUGUUGACUAUGAUCAGUCAUGUAGCUUACUCGCUGAUGUUAUUUUACCUACGCUUAGGAUGUUG